Non-coding RNA from Chelonoidis abingdonii (Abingdon island giant tortoise), 116 nucleotides. Lineage: Eukaryota; Metazoa; Chordata; Testudines; Testudinidae. The record is from RefSeq and is a predicted model, not a curated record.
CACCACCGCUGCCACCAUCCUCUGCCAGAAAGUCUGUCAGAGUAAGGGUUUUCCCCUUCUUGUUCUUCUUCUUAGCUGAAGCGGCGCAUGGUGGGCAGAGGGAGAGAAGGCAAAGG